AUACGUAGGGUGCGAGCGUUGUCCGGAAUUACUGGGCGUAAAGAGCUCGUAGGUGGUUUGUCGCGUCGUCUGUGAAAUUCCGGGGCUUAACUCCGGGCGUGCAGGCGAUACGGGCAUAACUUGAGUACUGUAGGGGAGACUGGAAUUCCUGGUGUAGCGGUGAAAUGCGCAGAUAUCAGGAGGAACACCGGUGGCGAAGGCGGGUCUCUGGGCAUUAACGGACGCUGAGGAGCGAAGGCAUGGGUAGCGAACAGGAUUAGAUACCCUGGUAGUCCAUGCCGUAAACGGUGGGCGCUAGGUGUAGGGGUCUUCCACGACUUCUGUGCCGUAGCUAACGCAUUAAGCGCCCCGCCUGGGGAGUACGGCCGCAAGGCUAAAACUCAAAUGAAUUGACGGGG
This 398-nucleotide ribosomal RNA is filed under the name uncultured bacterium. RNAcentral describes it as "partial 16S ribosomal RNA". It matches the Rfam family "Bacterial small subunit ribosomal RNA", at positions 523 to 918 of the family's 1533-position model. The record is from RNAcentral.